This is a non-coding RNA of Mycobacterium sp. E796, 99 nucleotides long. The record is from Rfam. NCBI's taxonomy places the organism in Bacteria, Bacillati, Actinomycetota, Actinomycetes, Mycobacteriales, Mycobacteriaceae.
GGUGGGAUUGGGAACGAAAUGGUUGACGCGGCCGCCGAUUACGGCCAAAGUGCGCUUGCCCUGAGUGACCAUCUGCACGCCGCGGGUCUUGAAUGCCUU